RNAcentral lists this long non-coding RNA (216 nucleotides) under Manihot esculenta (cassava). RNAcentral's name for it is "long non-coding RNA (MESC_LNC005935)". The record is from RNAcentral. Lineage: Eukaryota; Viridiplantae; Streptophyta; Magnoliopsida; Malpighiales; Euphorbiaceae.
AAGGGAGGGUUUAUGGUUUUGAAUCUUCUGAUAUUGCAAAAUCAGGAACUCCAACUACCUCUUUCUCAUGUACAUCAGCUCAUCCUGGAGGACCUUCUCAAACUAUGUUUUCUUUAGAGGAGGUUGAACAAAUAUUAGAGCAAAAUCGGAUCAAAAUGAAAGAAGACAUGGAGCAAAUGCAAGAGCAAAUGCGAGUGCAGAUUGAAAAGCAAAUAA